UUGGAGGGCAAGUCUGGUGCCAGCAGCCGCGGUAAUUCCAGCUCCAAUAGCGUAUAUUAAAGUUGUUGCAGUUAAAAAGCUCGUAGUUGAAUUUCGGGAUCAAUUUGCCGGUCGAGACCCCUGGUACGUACUUGUAUUAUUGAUUUCUUUCAUUCUGAUAAAUCAUUGAUGUCAUUAAUUUGAUGACUUUGAGGAAUCGGAACUUUUACUUUGAAAAAAUUAGAGUGUUUAAAGCAGGCUUAUUAGGCUUGAAUACAUUAGCAUGGAAUAAUGAAAUAGGACGAUUGAUCCUAUUUUUGUUGGUUUCUAGGAUUGACGUAAUGAUUAAUAGGGAUAGUUGGGGGCAUUAGUAUUCAAUUGUCAGAGGUGAAAUUCUUGGAUUUAUUGAAGACUAACUACUGCGAAGGCAUUUGCCAAGGAUGUUUUCAUUAAUCAAGAACGAAAGUUAGGGGAUCGAAGACGAUCAGAUUCCGUCGUAGUCUUAACCAUAAACUAUGCCGACUAGGGAUCGGAUGAUGUUAAUUUUUUUUAAUGACUCAUUCGGCGCCUUACGGGAAACCAAAGUGUUUGGGUUC
This 575-nucleotide ribosomal RNA is filed under the name uncultured Glomeromycotina. RNAcentral's name for it is "bacterial SSU rRNA". It matches the Rfam family "Eukaryotic small subunit ribosomal RNA", at positions 548 to 1114 of the family's 1831-position model. Lineage: Eukaryota; Fungi; Glomeromycota. The record is from RNAcentral.